This 397-nucleotide ribosomal RNA is filed under the name uncultured bacterium. RNAcentral's name for it is "partial 16S ribosomal RNA". It matches the Rfam family "Bacterial small subunit ribosomal RNA", at positions 523 to 918 of the family's 1533-position model. The record is from RNAcentral.
AUACGUAGGUGACAAGCGUUAUCCGGAUUUACUGGGCGUAAAGGGCGUGUAGGCGGUCUUGCAAGUCAGAAGUGAAAUUCCUGAGCUCAACUCGGGCGCUGCUUCUGAAACUGCAGGACUUGAGUGCUGGAGGGGAUAGCGGAAUUCCUAGUGGAGCGGUAAAAUGCGCAGAUAUUAGGAAGAACACCGGUGGCGAAGGCGGCUAUCUGGACAGUAACUGACGCUGAGGCGCGAAAGCGUGGGGAGCAAACAGGAUUAGAUACCCUGGUAGUCCACACUGUAAACGAUGAAUGCUAGGUGUAGGGGGUAUCGACCCCUUCUGUGCCGCAGUCAACACAAUAAGCAUUCCGCCUGGGUAGUACGGCCGCAAGGUUGAAACUCAAAUGAAUUGACGGGG